CAGCCGCGGGCCAGGGUGCGAGCUGUUAAUGGAAAUUACUGGGCGUAAAGAGCAUCCAGGUGGUUGGUUAAGUCAGAUGUGAAAGCCCAGGGCUCAACCUUGGAAUCGCAUUUGAAACUGACUGACUAGAGUACUGUAGAGGGGGGUAGAAUUCCAGGUGUAGCGGUGAAAUGCGUAGAGAUCUGAAGGAAUUCCGGUGGCGAAGGCGGCCCCCUGGACAGAUACUGACACUCAGAUGCGAAAGCAUGGGGAGCAAACAGGAUUAGAUACCCUGGUAGUCCACGCCGUAAACGAUGGGGCUACUUGGAGGUGUGGGGACCAUUGAGCCACGGCUUCCGCGCCGCAGCUAACGCAUUAAGUAGACCCGCCUGGGGAGUACGGCCGCAAGACUAAAACUCAAAGGAAUUGACGGGGGCCCGCACAAGCGGCGGAGCAUGCGGAUUAAUUCGAUGCAACGCGAAGAACCUUACCAACGCUUGACAUCUUCACAGAACGUUCCGUAGAGAUACGGAUUGGUCCCCUUCGGGAACGCGUGAGACAGGUGCUGCAUGGCUGUCGUCAGCUCGUGUUGU
Molecule: ribosomal RNA, 572 nt
Filed under: bacterium Skdkislt1
Lineage: Bacteria
Description: bacterial SSU rRNA
Rfam family: Bacterial small subunit ribosomal RNA
Source: RNAcentral